CCAUCUGAUACUGCACAACUAAUAGUCUCAGCUCUAUAAGGCAAAAAUUAGAAAGGUUCAGGAAUGAGGUUGGUAAAGACACAGCCUGUAUUUUGAGUGGCUAUUUACAGUGCACUCAUUUUGUCAUUAACAAAUACCAGAAUUGAAUCAAAAUUUAAAUAUCUUCCUACAUAGUGUUGUUAGCUAUUUGCCUUGAUAAUAAUCUACCGAACAUCUAUCCUAUAACAGAAAAACUUCAAACAAUUGGACCAGUAUUGGCAGAAUUUGUUUAUGCAAAACUCAUAAACUGUAUAACAUACCCUAUGUUUGAUGCCACGAUGAUCUGGGGUCCACAAGUCUAAGGAAUGAAAGGCUGGACUGGGACUUGGCCUACAUUGCUCAUGUGAAGAACUAAGGGGGAUGAAGGGGACUCCACUUGCAUUUCUGCUUGGACUACUUACAUAUCGGGCCCAUGUCAUGUAGGUAUUUCAUUACUCUGAAGGAUUUUUCUCCCCUUGAAGCUCAAGCAAAGAAAUGAAAGGGACAAAAUACCAAAAGAAGCAAUGAUCCCUGUAUUUCUGUACUCACCAGAAGGAGGAAACACUUGAAAUCUAUGGGCAAAGUUCUUGGAAAAAGCAAAACCAGUUGUUACCAGAAUGUUCAGGCACUACUUACUCCUCCAGUGAAGAAUGACCCCCUGCCAAAUGCUGAAUUUCUACCCUGAUGUUUCAGUGCUAGAGCUAUUCAAAAUAAGGGUGCACAGUUGUUAAUAAUAAAUGCCAUUUUCACUCACCAUCUACUGAAAAAUGGCUUCAUUGCUUUUGUUCAGAGUUUUUAAAAGAAUUCACCUUCAGGCAGAAACCAAACCUGGAGGAUGCCA
This is a long non-coding RNA of Dermochelys coriacea (leatherback sea turtle), 859 nucleotides long. RefSeq lists it as uncharacterized. Lineage: Eukaryota; Metazoa; Chordata; Testudines; Dermochelyidae. The transcript has 5 exons. The record is from RefSeq and is a predicted model, not a curated record.